UUUAUUGUAGUCUGUAGCCUCUUUGGCUUCGCAACCAAAGGGUCGCGGGUUCGAAUCCCGCCUAUAAUC
RNAcentral lists this transfer RNA (69 nucleotides) under Ixodes scapularis (black-legged tick). Its description in RNAcentral is "tRNA-OTHER". The record is from RNAcentral. Lineage: Eukaryota; Metazoa; Arthropoda; Arachnida; Ixodida; Ixodidae.